This 349-nucleotide transfer-messenger RNA is filed under the name Clostridia bacterium. It matches the Rfam family "transfer-messenger RNA". From Rfam's summary of the family: Bacterial tmRNA, also known as 10Sa RNA or SsrA, is named for its dual tRNA and mRNA-like properties. Its role is to liberate the mRNA from a stalled ribosome. To accomplish this part of the tmRNA is used as a reading frame that ends in a translation stop signal. The record is from RNAcentral. RNAcentral also lists the same sequence under 1 other name. Lineage: Bacteria; Bacillati; Bacillota; Clostridia.
GGGGGUGUACUGGUUUCGACGGGAUCGUGGGCGGUCGGGUAAGCGAGCCGUUGCCCCGGGCAACGCUAAAACCGGGAAAUUAAAAAUGAACUGACAAUAGCGAAUAUUGCCUCGCGGCCUGAUUAGGCUGCGCGUCGGCCCGGAGUCCCCGCUGCUCCGGUUCCCGGCGUCAAUUUAGCGGGCCAUGACCAUGCCUAAGCUUUGCCGCAUGGCCACAUCAUGAAGCUACUGAACCCUUGAGCCCGUCUGCGGGCGCCUGGGAGAGGGAAUGUUAAAUCGCAGACUGCGCUCGGAGAAAGCCUGGCAGUCGCUUUUUCGGACAGGGGUUCGAUUCCCCUCACCUCCACCA